Long non-coding RNA from Triticum aestivum (bread wheat), 812 nucleotides. RefSeq lists it as uncharacterized. The record is from RefSeq and is a predicted model, not a curated record. NCBI's taxonomy places the organism in Eukaryota, Viridiplantae, Streptophyta, Magnoliopsida, Poales, Poaceae. The transcript is spliced from 4 exons.
GCCUCCUCCAUGCAAAUAGCACGCAACAGAUUUUUGUAUAUAGAAAAAAAACAUAUCUUUCCUCCCACCACCUAUCUCCGCUGAUUCAUCUCUCCCAUCGGCUUGGAUCCCCUAACCUUUCUCCUCUGACCCCCCCUUGGAGACACUCUCCAUGCCUCUCCAUGCGCCCCCGCAUCCAUGGGUUGCCGUCACCAGCGUAGAUCCGCUCCUCAUCUGGUGUGAUUGAUCGGCGUCUCCGCACACGCCACAGCUGAAUUGGACGCCGACGGUUCUGCUCCGCCUCGGCUACAUCGACUUCGACGCCGACGGUUCGGGGUGCUGUUCAAACAAGUAGGUAGCUUGCAUGAAUUCUUCUUGCGGGAAUUGUGCAGAAUCCAGGACAAUUUGGUCUCCCCAUAACCACUUUGGUGUCCUGUUAUGGAACAAGUUAUACACCACUCUGGUACAUCUAAUGUUCACUUGUGUUUUUAUGUGUAUUGAUAGUGUUAUCAAAUUCUCAUGUAACUCCCAGCUGGCUUAGUAACUAGAAAACCCCGACAAGAUCCUUUGUAUGAUAUCUCUAAUUUGGAUCCAAGCUCAAGCAGGAAUACAGAUAUGUAGAGAUGGUGAUCGUUUAUUACAUCUUCAAAUUCUGGAAAAUAUAUAAGCACAAUCCAACUCCCCGUUGGCUGAGAGAAAAUCUAUUUGUUACACUCAUCACCUAGAUAAUUGAAUGGUGCAUGGCUAAGUUGUUGUGGAGAAUGGGGGCUAAUUUGUUGAUUGCAAGGUGGGGAAUGGGGGCCAAGUUGUUGAUUGCAAGGUGGAGAAUGGGG